RNAcentral lists this ribosomal RNA (458 nucleotides) under uncultured bacterium. RNAcentral describes it as "partial 16S ribosomal RNA". It matches the Rfam family "Bacterial small subunit ribosomal RNA", at positions 338 to 795 of the family's 1533-position model. The record is from RNAcentral.
CCUACGGGUGGCAGCAGUGAGGAAUAUUGGUCAAUGGUCGGGAGCCUGAACCAGCCAAGUCGCGUGAGGGAGUACUGCCCUAUGGGUUGUAAACCUCUUUUGUCGGGGAGCAAAAGCCGGACGUGUCCGGCUGUGAGGGUACCCGAAGAAAAAGCAUCGGCUAACGCCGUGCCCGCAGCCGCGGUAAUACGGGGGAAGCGAGGUUUAUCCGGGUUUAUUGGGUUUAAAGGGUGCGCAGGCGGUUUGUUAAGUCAGCGGUCAAAUCGUGGGGCUCAACCCCCGCCAGCCGUUGAAACUGGGGAUCUAGAGUGGGCGAGAGGUAUGCGGAAUGCGUGGUGUAGCGGUGAAAUGCAUAGAUAUCACGCAGAACCCCGAUUGCGAAGGCAGCAUACCGGUGCACAACUGACGCUCAGGCACGAAAGCGUGGGUAUCGAACAGGAUUAGAUACCCCGGUAGUC